CGAGCCGCCCGCGGCUUCAAAGAGGUAGCGUUCUAAAAUGCUUAAUAACUUUUUAACCGCUAAUUCUAUCCAUCUGAUUUAAAAAGUGAGGUAAAGCGGCUAUUCUAGGCUUUUUGCUGGUAUCACUAUGUCCUUUUCCGGGAUUUAGAGGCUCCGACGUGAUCGGGGCAACGUUAUCACAUUUUACAGCCUUGAUUCGUCAAGGAGACCCACGCGGCCCCUCUGUCUGAGCCAAACAGCCAAGGUUUUAGACUAAGUCCCACCCCCCUGUGUCCGGAUAGGUUUAAAAUGUAAAGGUCCAGGCAAACCUCUGCCCAUGCUACCAUCUUCUCGACCAAUCAACAUAGGUUGCUGUGUAUGUUUUUGGCGGCGGGAGAUAAACAAAGAGAAACAGAGAGACGAGAGAGUAAUACUAAAGAAGAGUAAUUCUGCCAGCGUAAGAGAAAUAAAUACAACACGAGAUAUCUAGAUACAGUCACACACAUACAUACACACACACACACACACACACACACACAUAUCCCAAGACAAAUUCAAACCAACAUGUCAAAACGGCGUUACACUACGGAAGAAACCGUAGAAUGUAUUUUGUCUGGCGGACCGCUUAGCGAUGCAGCGGUGGAUUCCUCAGAUUCUGAAGCUGACAACUGGCAAGGAAGAGGAGUAUGAUCACGGGAUUGAUCCCUUCGAAGAUAAAAAAUACAGAGGAUGAGAGAGGGGAUGCACAAGCCACUGUCCCCAUCAGUAGGCCUCCUUCAAACCGAGAGGGAAAAGAAUGUGGCCAGGAGGGUGCAGCAUCCAGAAAAAAGGCCAAACCAAUGCCAGCCCCCCUGACAGUGAAAGGGAGAGGAAGAGGGAAAGGGAAAAAAACAUCUCUGACCCCAGAAGAGCCAGGAGCUGUUUGGAACGGACCUGAGGUGCCAGAUACUGCCCAACAACUACCACACUUUUGCCCGAAAAGAGCCCGUGGAGUCCAAGGUUUUGUUGGUGUGGAGUAUACUCCUGCACAAAUAUUUAGAAAUUGUUUUAACAACCAAGCUGUAAAUAUCAUCUGCAAGAACACAAACAAAAAUGCUGAAAAGGAGCAGGCUAAGGGGGAAAAGUUUGUUU
This is a long non-coding RNA of Gymnodraco acuticeps, 1110 nucleotides long. RefSeq lists it as uncharacterized. The transcript has 2 exons. Lineage: Eukaryota; Metazoa; Chordata; Actinopteri; Perciformes; Bathydraconidae. The record is from RefSeq and is a predicted model, not a curated record.